Molecule: non-coding RNA, 73 nt
Organism: Lepraria neglecta
Lineage: Eukaryota; Fungi; Ascomycota; Lecanoromycetes; Lecanorales; Stereocaulaceae
Source: the annotation of a GenBank genome assembly
GGUAUUUUAGCUCAGUGGUAGAGCAGGAGAUUGCAAUUCUCAAGGUCCAUCGUUCCGAAUCGGUGACGGGCCU